AAGAGGAGCAAAAUUCUACAGCUCUGCAAUUCGGUAGUAACAUCCCAUGCAAUUUACAAGUAAGAAUUCCAACAGUCAUGCCGUUAUUUACAAGUAAGAAUUCCAUCAGUCAUGCCGCCUAUCCACGCCCAUGGCCACGGCCUGCAGCCACUUCACGCGGCCACGGGAGCAAAAUUCUACAGCUAUGCAAUUUCGUACUAACAUCCGACGUAGUCACCAACUACAGCAUGCAAUUUACAAGAAUUCCAAGAGUCAUGCAGUUAUUUACAAGUAAGAAUUCCAACAGGCUGCCUAUCCACGCCCAUGCCCGCGGCCACGGCCCAACGCAGCCUCAGCCUCAGCUUGCUCCGCAGCCUCAGCAGCCUGCGCUGCUUCCAUCUCUACUGGUUGAAAGAUCCCGGGGGGGUGGACAGGCCCCAAUGGGAGUGGCACAACUUCGGCACCCAAGGCUUCCCUCAUUUGAGUUUCAAGGGCUUCCAUUGCAGCCACAUACUCGUCCCGCUUGUUCCUUGGAAAAUCUGGGUACAGGCGGUAUUCGAAGACCAUCAACUCUGGAUGAGGUAUGUGAUAGCCAGCUCUUUCAAAAAAAUCCUCGUCACAGGGUAAUGUUGUCCUCCGACGCAUUCUGAGGCGCCCUUUGACCUCAUACCUCACCAAAGAGAUCUCUCCUCCUUCUGCCCCAAGCUCCUCUGCCAUAGCUUCAAGUUCUUCCACAGUCCCAAGAAAAAAGAUACCAUUGCGGGUAAGUCCAUCAUCAUCAACAGCUUCUCCCUCUUGAACCCAUCGGAACAUGGCAGGGUUCAACAACAUUGCAGCUCGCUCUUCAGCCUUGAGCAACCUUUUGGCUGUCCAAGCUUGGGUCAAGGAAAUGCGCAAUCUUCGCAUAGUCGAAAACCUGUGCAGGGGUGUUCCAACUAACUCUGCUGCAUCAUUAGGUUCCAUGCUGAAAGUGAAAUAUAAAAUUUAGGGACGGAGGAAGUACAUGGCAUUUGAUCACCGAUUUCUGUAAAGGACAGGCCAAUAGGGUUCCAUGCUGAAAAUGGAAUAUAAAAUUUAUAGACAAUGUGCCAAUAUCUCCAAUAUCAAAUACUAUGAAAAUAUAUAUCAUGACGGAUUUAAUAAAGCUGAUUUAGAGUUGCUGAUGUUGGUAAA
Molecule: RNA transcript, 1152 nt
Organism: Brachypodium distachyon (stiff brome)
Lineage: Eukaryota; Viridiplantae; Streptophyta; Magnoliopsida; Poales; Poaceae
Exons: 2
Source: RefSeq, a predicted model, not a curated record